CCUGUUUAUUUUCCAUGAAGUGAUGGGACUGGAUGCCAUGAUCUUCAUUUUUUGAAUGUUGAGUUUUAAGCCAACUUUUUUACUCUCCUCUUUCACUUUCAUCAAGAGGCUCUUUAGUUCCUGCUCUCUUAUCUAUAGAUAGUUCUGUGUUUAUAUCAUUCCUUGCCUUGUUGGGACAUUUAUUAAAAAUUAACAUUUAAUCAGAGAUAAAUUUUUCUAUAUAUUUUCUUUUAAGCUGCUUAUUUAAAUAAUAUAUCAUGUAAAAGAAUACAUUAAUGUUUUCACAUAAUUGUUCUUCUUUGACCUUCACACCAGUACUGUAUAUUUGAAAGGCAAUGGUUUAUUCUCACCAUUUAGUGAGUAACAAGAUUGACACAAAUAAAACUGCUUGCUCACUAUCACAUAGCUUAUUAAUAGAUUACCAAUCCGAUGGUCUUUCUUGUAAAAUCAACUCCUUUCCAAUAAUCCUUUUUAAAAAGCCAUGAAACCACCUCUCAAGAUUCCUGUCUUUGUUUAUUUUUAGUUUGUAUGUUAUUUCUCGUUACAUUUUCUACUAGUGCCAGUUUGGAGCAGAGCUGUGAGGACACCGUAAAAACGGAAUCUUCAGGGGUGAUAGAAAACCACAUAGCAAUUAUAGUGUGGAUCUCACAAUAAUACAGAAGGAAUAAAUUACAAAGCUGCAAUCAAGUUAGAGCUAAACUCAGAUAACUUACAUAAACAUACAUAGGAACUAUUUGUUUGGACAAAGAAGACAUUUAAGCAGAAACAGUGUGCCUCACAUUUCAUGUCCUUACAGAAAUGACAAAGUCAGUCCCGUGGGACUGACUCCGAAGUUGUCAAAGCACUUUUCUCUUCAACGUAUGAAACUUUCUCAACUUACGGUCCCAAAGAGCUACUCCCAUUUAUUCUAAAUUCUGUGGUAGGAAAAAUUUAUUUAUUUUUUCUAAGAUUACAUUUAUUUUUUUCUUCAUUAAAAACAUUAUCAUUUAAUCAGAUUUUGUCAUCCUUAAUUACCCAGCACUAGUCAUAGUGAGUUAAAUUCAAAAUCUGCUAGAUAGUUUCUUUGCCAAAAUAAAUUUACAAUCUAACUUUGGAUAGGAAAGGAAUGAAAAUAAGUAAACAGCCAAUUAGCUAAAUAAAUGAAUGAAUGAAUCUCUAAUUGACAAAACAGUAAAUUAGAAAACCAAGUACUAUAGUAAAUACCAAACUGUGUGAUACAGUGAGCUCUGUCAUACCUUGCAAAAAGAGUCAGGCUGUCCUGGAACUAACAGAAGAUACAUUUGUGUGGUAGACAUUUAGCUAGAUUUAAAAGGAUGUAUAGUGUUUGAAUUGGCAAAGGUGUGCAGAAAGGGCAAUUUCAGGUGAUAGAGAAUAGUGAUUUUUCAAAUUGUUUUUUCCUGUUUGCAUAAAUUUUUUUCAAAUAAGCUGUUACUUUAAAACUUAAUUAUAAUAAUACAAAGCAGAGCUGCUCUGAUUGAAGUGAGGCAAGAAAUGGGUUCCAGAGUCCUGUGAAAUUUGUCCUCUUGGUUUCUCCUGGGGUUCUGAUUUAGGCAUGUUCAAAAUUAUACACUUAUAUUUCAUCUUUUCUGUAUCUUCUGUGGCAUCUUUGAGUAUUACUGCCUGUGUCCAUAAUGGAGAUGUUUACAAUAAUUCAAACUUGAACCAGGGUCCAAGCAGUUAAUGGGAGGAAACAAAAGGAUAAUUAGGAAAUGGUUGUAAAAGAAAUAAAUACAAUGUGUUGAAAGGGAUUGCUGGGAAGAGGAAGAAAGGAAUCUGCAACAUUGCUGAAAUAAUGAGUGUAUAUAUCAGGAAGAAAAUCAGUGGUACUAGGCAGAGAACUAGAAAGUCAGGAGAAGAAACUAUAUUUGUUUCUUUUAGUAUGUAUAUGUUUUAUUCAUUUUUUCCCUUUCACUUUAUCACUGUGCUGAGAUAGGCUUUAAAGCAGAGACUUAAAGACCAGACUUAUUCUAGUAGGAUCUUUAAGUCUUGUCUUUUCUGAAAAUCUGGAAUCUACUCAGAGGCAUGUGAUUACAGACAGCCCUGGUCCUGCAUUACUUACAGCAUGGUGUGAAAGCGUUAGGCGCUCAGUCGUGUCUGACUCUUUGCAACCCAUGGACCCCGCCAGACUCCUCUAUCUAUGGAAUUCUCCAGGCAGCAGUACUGGAGUGGGGACCUUCUCCAGGGGAUCGUCCAGACCUCGGGAUCAAACCUGGGUUCCCUGCGUUGCUGGCAGAUUCUUUACCAUCUGUGCCACGGGAAGCCAUUUACACCGUACCAGGGACUGAAGAUAGAGUGAAACUAUGACAUACUCUUAGACUUCAGAAAACUCCCAAAUUUGUGGUAGAGACAUAUAUUUAGAUGAAUAAACUAAUGUAAAAUUAAAACUGAGUCAAAUAGUGGGGAAGAAUGGCGCCUGGUACCAGGGGAAUAUAUACCAGGCCUAAUCUUUUCAGAGAAGGUAUCCAUGAGGCAGUGAUAUUUAAACUGAUAGCAGGAAAGCAUGUACAAAGGCAAUAAAGAGAGAAAGGAAGCCAGUAGGACUAGAGCAUAGAGGGUAGGGGGUAAGAGAGAAAGCUGGAGCGGAAUGCAUGAUCAUUCUGAGAGUAUUGGCUGUCAUUGAUGGGGAGAAGGAGGGUCAUGUGAUCAUAUAUGCGUCUUGGAAAGUUGACUCAUGUUGCAUCAUAGAGAACUGUUUGGAGAGUGGUCAGUUGAGACAUAGUCAGAAAGGUGAUUAGUACAGAAAUACAGAGAAAGUUCUUGGUAUCUUGGACCAGAGUGGCCAUCCUGAAGAUAGAAAGAAGAGAAUUAAGAUUCAGGUGAUAGCUGGGAGAUGGAAGAGAUUGAAACUGGUGAUGAGGGUUAGAGGAGAGCAACAAUAGAUUAAUGAUAUAUUAAGGAUAAUAACUCUUGACAUGGCAUCAUUAUUGCAAGAAUCACUUUUCCAAUUUAAAAUUUGGUUUUAAGUUUUAUUUAUGGAGUUUUGAUAUGGUGAUGUUUUACAGUUAAUAUAAUACUACAUAUAAUUUUUAUUUAUGUUUUUGCUUCUGGUUUUGUUUUUGCUUAAGGAUUUAUCCAUGUGCUUAGAAAAUGUAAACACUUACCUACAUUUUUCUGAUUCUUUUACAGUAUUUUUUCUUGUUUUAAGGAAUGACCCUAGUAGGAUUUAGAUCUUUAAUACAUCUGAAAUACAGACAUAUGUACACACAUACAUGUAUAUAAUGUAUUCAGUAUAAGACGUGAGGUAGGUGAGGAUCUAAAUUUAUUUUUCCUUGUAGAUAGCUAAUUGUUCUAUAACUCAUAUAUUAAAUUGUGAUUCCAAGUCAUUUACCUUUUUAUGAAGUAUUUUUACAAUGAAUGUGCCACUGAGAUUAGCCCUGUAAGAUACAAAAAAUUAGACAUAAUAUUCAUUAAAUAAGUGAUCUAUUUUCUUAAAUAACCCUAUAAAAAUUAUGUAGAAAAUAUUUUAAAUGCCCUUCAGUAUUGGAAGGAAUAGCAUUGAAUAGUCAUGAAAACAAACCUCAAAGCUAGUGGGAUUUGGAGUGUAUAAUUUUGCUUGUUUAUAAAAUACAUCUUUUUAAGUCAUUGCUUGUACUAAGCAUAGUUGUAUUGCUCAGUUGUCAUCUGUUUUCUUCUUGGAAUUCUACCUUUGCUUCUUAGAACUAAAAAGUCAUUUAUUUUAUCUGCUCAGACAAGAGGACUUUUUUUAAAAAAACUCCUUUUAACCUAGCUUGAAAGAUAACUCUGCAACUUGAAACCCAAAUUAUCCUUUCUCUUUUACUAAAGCUAAUGAGUGUACUAUGACACUAACUGGAUCUCAUGAAAUAAUUUUAUCAAUCCCUAAAGCAAAUUACAUUUUUCUGUUGUGUCAACUUGACAUAUGUGAUGCAAAAAUGCUGUAUACCCAGUCUCCAGUAAGGAAAUAUCAGUAUAAUUAAAAAGGUCAAAAUGACUCAAAUAAUUGUCUUUUCAUUUCCAGAAAACUUGACUUUUAAAAGAUGAUGCU
This is a long non-coding RNA of Cervus elaphus (red deer), 4003 nucleotides long. RefSeq lists it as uncharacterized. The record is from RefSeq and is a predicted model, not a curated record. Lineage: Eukaryota; Metazoa; Chordata; Mammalia; Artiodactyla; Cervidae. The transcript is spliced from 2 exons.